This is a long non-coding RNA of Otolemur garnettii (small-eared galago), 1261 nucleotides long. RefSeq lists it as uncharacterized. NCBI's taxonomy places the organism in Eukaryota, Metazoa, Chordata, Mammalia, Primates, Galagidae. The record is from RefSeq and is a predicted model, not a curated record. The transcript is spliced from 3 exons.
GAAUCUGUUCCAAAGCUCAUUUAGGCUGUUGAAGGAAUGUAAUUCCUUGGGUCACUGGAUUAGGGUCCUCUUUUCUGGCUGGCUGGUAGCUCUGCCACACUCUCAGCAUCUUGAGACUGUUCUUAGGCCCUGGCUCCAUCAUGCUCUCCUUCUCAGCAACAGAAAACCUGGCUUAGAUCAUAGCUUUUCCCUGCAACAGCUCUUCUACUCCCAGAUGAACAAAUUCUCCUUUUAAAAUGUGUCAGGUGGGGAGUGGUGAUACAGAGAGGUUAAGUACUUUGCCCACGGUCCAACAGCAGAGCUGGGCACUGAGGAAGAAGACUGGCUCCAGAGUCCAUGUCUAUUUGCUGCAGGUGUAAUGAAGGUCAUUAAUCAGUUGUCCUCGGAAUAGAUUAUCCUGGAUUAUCUGAGUGGGCCCAAUCUAAUUAAAUAAGUACUUAAAAGGAGAAGAGGAAGGAGGCAAAUCCAAACAGAGAGAUUCAGACAGACGAGGAAUUCCAUCCACUCUUGCCGGAUAAGUCUGCAAGGAACUACGAGAAGAAAUAUUAUCUGUCUCUAGAAGAGAGAGAUCAGCCUGGCGGGCAGCCAGCAAGGAAAAACAGUGACCUCAGUCCCACAACUGCAAAGAACUGAACUUGACCGACAACCUGAAGGAGCUUGGAAAUAGAUUCACCAGCAGAGCCUUCAUGAGGGAGCACAGCCUUGCUGAGACCUCAGUGUUGGCCUUGGGGAAACGUGGAGCAGAGAAGUCAGACAAGGCAACCCAGAUCUCGGACACUUAGAACUGUGUGAAGAUAAAUUUGCAUUAUUUUAAAUCACUAAGUUGGUAGUAACUUGUUAUGACAGCAAUUAGGAAGUAACACACAGACCCUGUGUUAGGGAAAGUGGCUGUGUGUGUGUGUGUAAAUACAAAGAUUCUAUUAACAAAGUCCUGUAACCUGUGUUCUGUGGCAGAGGGUUUCUGUAUGAAAUGGAUCAAGAGUUUUUCUGUUCUUCUUCCACAACCCGUUUUUGGAAAAGCACCACUGGGCAACAGGACUACCUGGUGACUGAAGCAGUGGAGACCUGACCUCCUCACUGGGCUGGUCCAGUGUAGGAUUAACCCUAUCCACUCAUAAUGUGCUGUGGACCUCAUUCCCUCUCCCUACCCACAGCUCUGACCCUCCUCAGAAAAUAACAUGGAGUCUCCUUUUUAUGUUAUUUGCUUGUUUACUGUUCUGUUUUUCUUUUUUAAUUGUAGUAAACUAUACAUAACAUAAUA